This 500-nucleotide ribosomal RNA is filed under the name Lutra lutra (Eurasian river otter). RNAcentral's name for it is "partial large subunit ribosomal RNA". It matches the Rfam family "Bacterial large subunit ribosomal RNA", at positions 1945 to 2619 of the family's 2925-position model. The record is from RNAcentral. Lineage: Eukaryota; Metazoa; Chordata; Mammalia; Carnivora; Mustelidae.
ACCGUGCAAAGGUAGCAUAAUCAUUUGUUCUCUAAAUAGGGACUUGUAUGAAUGGCCACACGAGGGUUUAACUGUCUCUUACUUCCAAUCAGUGAAAUUGACCUUCCCGUGAAGAGGCGGGAAUACACUAAUAAGACGAGAAGACCCUAUGGAGCUUUAAUUAACUAACCCAUAAUAACUUACUAAAUCACCGAUCAGGCCUAACACAAUCCUAUUAAUGGGUUAGCAAUUUAGGUUGGGGCGACCUCGGAGAACAAAACAACCUCCGAGUGAUUUAAUCACAGACAAACCAGUCGAAGCAUUCUAUCAUUCAUUGAUCCAAUAACUUGAUCAACGGAACAAGUUACCCUAGGGAUAACAGCGCAAUCCUAUUUGAGAGUCCAUAUCAACAAUAGGGUUUACGACCUCGAUGUUGGAUCAGGACAUCCUAAUGGUGCAGCAGCUAUUAAGGGUUCGUUUGUUCAACGAUUAAAGUCCUACGUGAUCUGAGUUCAGACCGG